AAAAAAAAAACAAAAACAAAUCUGAUUGGUCGUGGUUUGUUUAUUCCUUUCCGCAGAGUUAAAAAUCUAAAAAAAAAAUUGCUUUCCCAGAUCCAACCGCCGCGUCGCCAAAGGCUCAAUCUACAAACCGGCGGUGUCCAAGCCCAGCAUCGAUUCGCACCAGUCACCGUCAGUAUGCCAUUCUCGGAAGGGUCCACGCGACACAAACCGCUGGCAUCUAACUUCCGGCUCAAAACCAUAGCGGCCGCAAGUUGCUUGAAUCUCUAGGCUCCUGACAGGUCCGAGCAGCCACGUAUCCUUCCUCAAUCGAAGCCCUGACUGAAGAAUCCGGCUAAGAAGAGAGGAGAGGAAACCGCUAUCCGAGAUCCAACCUCCGCCGUCGCCAAAGGCUCACUCUAAAAACCGGCAGUUUACAAGUAAUCUGGUUUCCGGGACUUCACGGCGGUGGUGUCCAUGCCUAGCAUCGAUUCGUCAGUCACCAAAUCCUAGACGCCGCAAGUUGCAUGAGUCUCUUGCUCCUGACAGGUCCGAGCAGCCAUCCUCAAUCGAAGCAAUGACUGAAGAAUACGGCUAGGAAGUGAGGAGAGAGAACCAACAUCGCAGACGACAACUUCACUCUAGAAACCGGAGACGACAACUUCACUCUUGAUAAGAACCAAAAAGGAGGAGGGCUUGCUAGCACCAAUUGGACAUAUGAAGAGACAAAAACCUAACGGCUGGGUGUUUCGACCAACAUAAUGAGACAAAUUGAUUGAGUUUCAAAUUUGGUCCAAGUGAAACUUCGCAUGUAACUGGAUGUUAAUAAAAUGAAUAAGUGGAAUUAAAAGAAUGAUAAUUAGUGGAAUCCAAUGGAAUGGAAUUAGUAUUCCAUUUGUUCCAGAACUAUUUAUAGGUAAAAUCAUUUUUCAGAAGAAUGUUGUUAUUUUUUGGAAUGACAAGGAAUAAUAUGGAAUGAGAUGAAAUACUCAUUCUUUUUUUAAUUACAACUAGUGAACAUUUUGUAGAAUGAGAAAGAUUUAAGUAUUCAAGAAAUUUCUAUUCCAAAAAUGCAUUCUAGUCACACGUGAAUCCAUUUUUCCUGGACCAUUUGGAAUUUGGGAUGACCUUGAAUCGGGUCAAACACAUGCCAGUAUCCGAAGAAUUUUGAUCACCGAGAAGCCUAAGGAGUCUUUGACCAAAACCUUUCCAACUUCCUAUUUAUUUUAGAAUCAAAACCUUUUAUUACGUUGAGAAGUUUCAAAGCUUAAAGCCUAUGGUAGGAAUAAAAGGAUUAGGUGAAAUGAAUGGGAGUACAAUGAGCAGUUUGAAGGUCUUUGUGAUUAUUGCUCUGAGAUGGCAUCGAAUGAGACUUUUUCAGUUGAGUUUGAUUCAUCGAGAACAAAGACAUCACUGAUAUUUUUAAUAGGUUAUAUGUUUGUUUUGACGUCCGUAGAAGAGCUUGAAAGAUACGUGUAGACCCUUUUAUUGGAGUAGAUAAGUGUUUCUUAAAGCCAAAACUGAAAAUUUUAAUUGUUGAUUGCUUUGGGUCGUGAUGCAGAUAAUGUGAUUUGCCAAAUCAGAUGGACUCUGGUACUAGCUGAAGACAAGGAUAAUUGGUCGUCGUUUAUAAAGAAGAUCAAAGUUAACCUAGGACUCGAAGAUGGUGAUGUUAUAUUAUGGUUUCCGAUCGAUAAAAGUUAACUUUUUACAUGUAUGGCAUCACCCGAGACAGACUUAGUGAGCUUGAGUCUCGGCCUCUAUCUCCUGCCCAUCUGUGUGUUCCCAUGCCCAUUGAUCUUGGCUUUGACCUCGAUGCUAGAUUUGGGUUCACCAAUGUUUACUUUAUUUUGUUUGAGAGUAUAUAUACUAUAUUUGUACUACAUGUUUAUUUAUCAAUAUUCAAAUUUGUUUUGACCUCA
Long non-coding RNA from Brassica napus (rape), 1898 nucleotides. RefSeq lists it as uncharacterized. Lineage: Eukaryota; Viridiplantae; Streptophyta; Magnoliopsida; Brassicales; Brassicaceae. The transcript has 2 exons. The record is from RefSeq and is a predicted model, not a curated record.